GGGUCAGUAGGUUGGUCGUGCCACCGGUACGUACUGGUCUCACUGAUUCCUCCUUCCUGAAGAACCGUAAUGCCAUUAAUUUGGUGUUGCGGGGAAACAGGACUGUUACUUUGAAAAAAUUAGAGUGUUUAAAGCAAGCUAGCGCUUGAAUACAUUAGCAUGGAAUAAUGAAAUAGGACGAUCGAUCCUAUUUUGUUGUUUUCUAGGAUUGACGUA
RNAcentral lists this ribosomal RNA (216 nucleotides) under Glomeromycotina sp. RNAcentral describes it as "partial small subunit ribosomal RNA". The stretch from base 40 to 216 matches the Rfam family "Eukaryotic small subunit ribosomal RNA", at positions 686 to 864 of the family's 1831-position model. The record is from RNAcentral. Lineage: Eukaryota; Fungi; Glomeromycota.